GAAAAUCAACAGGAUCUAAUUGUGAGGAGCAGAUGAUACAUCUCCAGGUGGAACUCAAAUGUGAAAUUGCAGAAGUUUGUCUUUGGUACCAAGUGCAAAGAGUGAGUAAUGUGGUGAUCAGAGGAAAGGCUGACUGUCUGGAAAGAAGCUGGGCCCAGUAAAACAGAGGUUGAGAGAGGACACAGUGGCUAUCUAUAAAUAUAUUAUGAGAACUCCUGUCUGUUGGUAGGUGACUACUUCAUCAAGUUUGCUUUUCACUUGGAUAGAAGAACCAGAAAAUGAACCUGGCACUAGAGGAAGCCUGUGUUCCUUCCACAGGUGGGGAAAGCAGCGGGCCUCUCUAAAGCAAGAUUCACAGAAGCAUAUACCAGACUCUUGAUGCUGGAUGUGAAGGCAGAAACAAUUUACUGUUUUAAAACAACGAGCCUGUUCCUCAGGAGACACUGGUAAAAUUCAUGUGAAGGCACACACUAGCUUCCUUGACUGCAAUGCAAUCCAAACUCGGGCUUGAAAACCCAACACUCAGAGUAUUGCGUCAAGCUGAGAAUGUGCGGUUGCUGUCCUCUGCUCAGCUGCUUGUCUCACCUCUUCAGCAAAAACUAAAGCCCUGGAAGCUGGAGGAGGUCAGACCUUCCCUGCAUUGCUAAGGCAUGGGGACAAAUUGGCAUCUAUAGAACAGAUCUUCAUUGCCUCCCUUGAGCAUUUUUCCAAGACUGAACAAAUGUAGAAAAUGAUAUUGUAAUUGUGGG
Tympanuchus pallidicinctus (lesser prairie-chicken) is the source of this 749-nucleotide long non-coding RNA. RefSeq lists it as uncharacterized. The transcript has 6 exons. The record is from RefSeq and is a predicted model, not a curated record. Lineage: Eukaryota; Metazoa; Chordata; Aves; Galliformes; Phasianidae.